GAUGAAGAACGUAGCGAAAUGCGAUAAGUAAUGCGAAUUGCAGAAUCCGUGAGUCAUCGAAUCUUUGAACGCACAUUGCGCCCUCUGGUAUUCCGGGGGGCAUGCCUGUUCGAGCGUCAUUAUAACCACUCAAGCUCUCGCUUGGUAUUGGGGUUCGCGGUUCCGCGGCCCCUAAAAUCAGUGGCGGUGCCUGUCGGCUCUACGCGUAGUAAUACUCCUCGCGAUUGAGUCCGGUAGGUCUACUUGCCAGCAACCCCCAAUUUUUACAGGUUGACCUCGGAUCAGGUAGGGAUACCCGCUGAACUUAAGCAUAUCAAUAAGCGGAGGA
RNAcentral lists this unclassified non-coding RNA (328 nucleotides) under soil metagenome. RNAcentral's name for it is "partial contains 5.8S ribosomal RNA, internal transcribed spacer 2, and large subunit ribosomal RNA". The stretch from base 1 to 119 matches the Rfam family "5.8S ribosomal RNA", at positions 35 to 154 of the family's 154-position model. The record is from RNAcentral.